This 878-nucleotide ribosomal RNA is filed under the name uncultured bacterium. Its description in RNAcentral is "bacterial SSU rRNA". It matches the Rfam family "Bacterial small subunit ribosomal RNA", at positions 512 to 1393 of the family's 1533-position model. The record is from RNAcentral.
AUGCCGCGGUAAUACGGAGGAUGCGAGCGUUAUCCGGAUUUAUUGGGUUUAAAGGGUGCGUAGGCGGAUUAAUAAGUCAGUGGUGAAAACCUUCAGCUUAACUGGAGACUUGCCAUUGAUACUGUUAGUCUUGAGUACGGUCAAGGUAGGCGGAAUGCGUAAUGUAGCGGUGAAAUGCUUAGAUAUUACACAGAACACCGAUUGCGAAGGUAGCUUACUGGGCCAUUACUGACGCUGAGGCACGGAAGCGUGGGGAGCGAACAGGAUUAGAUACCCUGGUAGUCCACGCCGUAAACGAUGAUCACUCGCUGUUGGCGAUACACAGUCAGCGGCUAAGCAAAAGCAUUAAGUGAUCCACCUGGGGAGUACGGCCGCAAGGCUGAAACUCAAAGGAAUUGACGGGGGCCCGCACAAGCGGAGGAACAUGUGGUUUAAUUCGAUGAUACGCGAGGAACCUUACCUGGGCUUAAAUGUAGAGUGCAUGGGGCAGAAAUAUCCCUUUCCUUCGGGACUCUUUGCAAGGUGCUGCAUGGUUGUCGUCAGCUCGUGCCGUGAGGUGUCGGGUUAAGUCCCAUAACGAGCGCAACCCUUAUCGUUAGUUGCCAGCGGGUAAUGCCGGGAACUCUAACGAAACUGCCGGUGUAAACCGUGAGGAAGGUGGGGAUGACGUCAAAUCAGCACGGCCCUUAUGUCCAGGGCUACACACGUGUUACAAUGGCCGGUACAGAGGGCAGCUACCUGGAGACAGGAUGCGAAUCUCCAAAGCCGGUCUCAGUUCGGAUCGGAGUCUGCAACUCGACUCCGUGAAGCUGGAUUCGCUAGUAAUCGCGCAUCAGCCAUGGCGCGGUGAAUACGUUCCCGGGCCUUGUACACACCGC